GAUGAACGCUGGCGGCGUGCCUAAUACAUGCAAGUCGAGCGAACAGAUGAGGAGCUUGCUCCUCUGACGUUAGCGGCGGACGGGUGAGUAACACGUGGAUAACCUACCUAUAAGACUGGGAUAACUUCGGGAAACCGGAGCUAAUACCGGAUAAUAUAUUGAACCGCAUGGUUCAAUAGUGAAAGACGGUUUUGCUGUCACUUAUCGAUGGAUCCGCGCCGCAUUAGCUAGUUGGUAAGGUAACGGCUUACCAAGGCAACGAUGCGUAGCCGACCUGAGAGGGUGAUCGGCCACACUGGAACUGAGACACGGUCCAGACUCCUAAGGGAGGCAGCAGUAGGGAAUCUUCCGCAAUAGGCGAAAGCCUGACGGAGCAACGCCGCGUGAGUGAUGAAGGUCUUCGGAUCGUAAAACUCUGUUAUUAGGGAAGAACAAAUGUGUAAGUAACUAUGCACGUCUUGACGGUACCUAAUCAGAAAGCCACGGCUAACUACGUG
This 497-nucleotide ribosomal RNA is filed under the name uncultured bacterium. RNAcentral describes it as "partial 16S ribosomal RNA". It matches the Rfam family "Bacterial small subunit ribosomal RNA", at positions 28 to 507 of the family's 1533-position model. The record is from RNAcentral.